Molecule: ribosomal RNA, 492 nt
Filed under: uncultured bacterium
Lineage: Bacteria
Description: partial 16S ribosomal RNA
Rfam family: Bacterial small subunit ribosomal RNA
Source: RNAcentral
AGUGAACGCUGGCGGCAGGCCUAACACAUGCAAGUCGAACGGACACACGGUAAGCUUUCGCCUUUACCGGUGGCGGCUGGCGGGCGGGUAACGCGUACAUCGGCUACUUCUUUUUCGGGGGGGAUUACGUAGAGCCGCUUCUGCUAAUGUAGCAUAUGUUGUACCGCAGAAUGCAGUGGUUCUUUGCAGCUUUCCUGUCUCACAUAGAUGAGGCCGGAUUCGCUUGGUGAGGGGGUAAAGGCCCACCAAGGCGACGCUCCGUAGCUGACCUGAGAGGAUGAUCGGCCACACUGGAACUGAGACACGGUCCAGACUCCUACGGGAGGCAGCAGUGGGGAAUAUUGGACAAUGGGCGCAAGCCUGAUGCAGCCAUGCCGCGUGGGUGAAGAAGGCCUUCGGGUUGUAAAGCCCUUUUGUUGGGAAAGAAAAGCAGCAGGAUUAUACCCCGCUGUUCUGACGGUACCCAAAGAAUAAGCACCGGCUAACUUCGUG